GUAGGAAUAGUUUAAUUAAAAUAAUGAUUUGUGGCAUCAUAGAUUCACCCGUGAUUCUUACC
This 62-nucleotide transfer RNA is filed under the name Cheilonereis cyclurus. Its description in RNAcentral is "tRNA-His". Lineage: Eukaryota; Metazoa; Annelida; Polychaeta; Phyllodocida; Nereididae. The record is from RNAcentral.